This 300-nucleotide ribosomal RNA is filed under the name uncultured Acidilobus sp. Its description in RNAcentral is "partial 16S ribosomal RNA". The stretch from base 69 to 300 matches the Rfam family "Bacterial small subunit ribosomal RNA", at positions 564 to 795 of the family's 1533-position model. Lineage: Archaea; Thermoproteati; Thermoproteota; Thermoprotei; Acidilobales; Acidilobaceae. The record is from RNAcentral.
GGCAGGGACGGGCAGCGGGCGAGGGAUAUACGUAGUGGGCAGUCGGUGUCGGAAGUUGUGGAGCGGAGAAAGUGCGAAGGAGGCUGGUGGCGACGGCGGGGAAAGACGGGGGCACGACGCCGGGCCUGCAGACGGUACGGGCAAGCUGGAGUUCGGUAGAGGAUACUGGGAUUCCUGGUGUAGCGGUAGAAUGCGCAAAUAUCAGGAGGAAGACCGGUGGCGAGGGGGGGUCUCUGGGCCGGUACUGACGCUGAGGAGCGAAAGCGUGGGGAGCGAACAGGAUUAGAUACCCUGGUAGUC